GCCAUACAUUUAAAGAGUGCGUAAUAGCUCACUAGUCGAGAAAACCUGCGCCGAAAAUGUAACGGGGCUAAAACACGACACCGAAGCUACGGAUUUCCUACAAGGUAGGAAGUGGUAGAGGAGCAUCCUGCAAGGACGAAGCCAAAGUGAGAGCGAUGGUGGACGAAACAGGAGAGAGAAUGCCGGAAUGAGUAGCGAGAUACAUGUGAGAAACAUGUAGGCCGAAUAUCUAAGGAUUCCUGGGUAAAGCUAAUCUUCCCAGGGUUAGUCGGGGCCUAAGGCGAGGACGAAAGUCGUAGUCGAUGGAUAACAGGUUGAUAUUCCUGUACUACACAUAAUCAGAACUGUGGGGACGCAGGAGGAUAGGGAAACCGGGGAAUGGAAAGACCCGGUCAAGCGUAAAGCUGUGGGAGAUAGGCAAAUCCGUCUUCUGUAAGUGAAACGUGAUGAGGACUGAAAAAAAGUAAGGAAGUUUCCGAAUCCACACUGCCGAGAAAAGCCGCUAUUGCGUUAUGUGUACCCGUACCGUAAACCGACACAGGUAGAUGAGGAGAAAAUCCACAGGCCGACGGGAGAAGUGUUGUUAAGGAACUCGGCAAAAUGACCCCGUAACUUCGGGAUAAGGGGAGCCUCGCAAGAGGCCGCAGAAAAGAGGCACAAGCAACUGUUUAGCAAAAACAUAGGUCUAUGCGAAACCGUAAGGUGAAGUAUAUGGGCUGACGCCUGCCCGGUGCUGGAAGGUUAAAAGGAGAGGUCAGCGCAAGCGAAGCUUUGAAUUCAAGCCCCAGUAAACGGCGGCCGUAACUAUAACGGUCCUAAGGUAGCGAAAUUCCUUGUCAGGUAAGUUCUGACCCGCACGAAAGGCGUAAUGAUUUGUGCACUGUCUCGACAACACGCCCGGUGAAAUUGAAGAACCAGUGAAGAUACUGGUUACCCGCAACAGGACGGAAAGACCCCAUGGAGCUUUACUGCAGCCUGAUACUGGGAUUCGAUGAUAUAUGUACAGGAUAGGUGGGAGGCUAAGAAGCGAGAACGCUAGUUUUCGUGGAGCCGCCGGUGGGAUACCACUCUUAUGUCAUUGAAUUUCUAACCUGCAUCCGUGAAUCCGGGUGAGGGACAAUGUCAGGCGGGCAGUUUGACUGGGGCGGUCGCCUCCUAAAAGGUAACGGAGGCGCUCGAAGGUCACCUCAGAAUGAUUGGAAACCAUUCAAAGAGUGUAAAGGCAAAAGGUGGCUUGACUGCGAGAGCGACGGGUGGAGCAGGUACGAAAGUAGGACUUAGUGAUCCGGUGGUAAUAAGUGGGAAUGCCAUCGCUCAACGGAUAAAAGCUACCCUG
RNAcentral lists this ribosomal RNA (1336 nucleotides) under human gut metagenome. RNAcentral describes it as "bacterial LSU rRNA". It matches the Rfam family "Bacterial large subunit ribosomal RNA", at positions 1115 to 2470 of the family's 2925-position model. The record is from RNAcentral.